RNAcentral lists this ribosomal RNA (333 nucleotides) under uncultured Glomeromycotina. RNAcentral's name for it is "eukaryotic LSU rRNA". Lineage: Eukaryota; Fungi; Glomeromycota. The record is from RNAcentral.
UAUCAGCCUUUUGGGCAUGAUUCUGUGGAGCGUGAGGAGUUAAACGCCUUCAUGCCUGCAUAUUCGUGUACUUUGGGUGUACUUGCCUGUGUGGUUAGUUAACAUCAAUUUUGGUUAUCAUAAAAUGGUUGGAGGAAUGUAGCUUCGAUUUCGAUUGAAGUGUUAUAGCCUUCGGCAGAUGUGAUGAUCGGGAUUGAGGAUUGCAACGGAUACCCUUCGGGGCUACCUGUCUGGUCUCUGAUCGUUGCUUUGGUGCCGAAAGCGUGCUUACGGUUAUCAAAGUCGAUGGUCAAUAGGUUAGAACGGGUUAAAUUCGUUAAGGAUGUUGACGUA